AUGAAUUCUAAUGGGCAAAAGAGAACUCGGGAGAAGGAACUCGGCAAAUUAGUGCCGCAGCUACGGGAUAAGGCACUCCCCUGGGGCUAGACUGGCCUGCGCCAGAAGGGUGAAGGGGUUGAAAUAAACUGGAAUUGACGACUGCUUAAUGAAAACACAGCACUCAGCAAACGCGAAAGUGGACGUACCAGGUCUGACACCUGCCCGGUGCCGGAAGAUUAAAUGAUGGGGUGCAAGCUCUUGAUUGAAGUCCCGGUAAACGGCGGCCGUAACUAUAACGGUCCUAAGGUAGCGAAAUUCCUUGUCGGGUAAGUUCCGACCUGCACGAAUGGCGUAACGAUGGCCACACUGUCUCCUCCCGAGACUCAGGGAAGUUGAAGUGUUUGCGAUGUGACAAUCUCCCCGCGGCUAGACGGAAAGACCCCACGAACCUUUACUAUAGCUUUGCAUUGGACUUUGAACCGAUCUGUGUAGGAUAGGUGGGAGGCAAUGAAACCGGAACGCUAGUUUCGGUGGAGCCGUCCUUGAAAUACCACCCUGGUUUGUUUGAGGUUCUAACCUUGGCCCGUGAUCCGGGUCGGGGACAGUGCAUGGUAGGCAGUUUGACUGGGGCGGUCUCCUCCCAAAGUGUAACGGAGGAGUACGAAGGUACGCUAGGUACGCUCGGAAAUCGUGCUGAUAGUGCAAUGGCAUAAGCGUGCUUAACUGCGAGACCGACAAGUCGAGCAGGUGCGAAACCAGGUCAUAGUGAUCCGGUGGUGCGGUAUGGAAGGGCCGUCGCUCAACGGAUAAAAGGUACUCUGGGGAUAACAGGCUGAUACCGCCCAAGAGUUCAUAUCGACGGCGGUGUUUGGCACCUCGAUGUCGGCUCAUCUCAUCCUGGGGCUGUAGCCGGUCCCAAGGGUAUGGCUGUUCGCCUUUAAAAGGUAUACGUGAGCUGGGUUUAAAAC
RNAcentral lists this ribosomal RNA (950 nucleotides) under Burkholderia gladioli. Its description in RNAcentral is "partial large subunit ribosomal RNA". It matches the Rfam family "Bacterial large subunit ribosomal RNA", at positions 1674 to 2617 of the family's 2925-position model. The record is from RNAcentral. Lineage: Bacteria; Pseudomonadati; Pseudomonadota; Betaproteobacteria; Burkholderiales; Burkholderiaceae.